UUUUAAUCCAACAUCGAGGUCGCAAACUUAUCUAUCGAUAUGAACUCUCCAAAUAAAUUACGCUGUUAUCCCUAAGGUAAGUUAAUCUUAUAAUCAAAAAAAUUGGAUCAAAAAAACAAUAAUUAAUGAAAAAAAAAUUAAAAGUUAAAAAAAUUUUAAUGUCACCCCAACAAAAUUUUACCUUCAAAAUAUAAAUUUAAAUAACAAAAAAAUUAUAUAAUUAAAUAAAAUAAACUUCUAUAGGGUCUUCUCGUCCUAUAAAAAAAUUUUAGCAUUUUAACUAAAAAGUUAAAUUCAAAUAAUUAAAAAAAAGAAAGUUAUUUUUUCAUCAAACCUUUCAUUCUAGCCUUCAAUUAAAAGACAAAUGAUUAUGCUACCUUCGUACAGUUAAAAUACCGCAGCCUUUUAAUUAAUUAGAAUCAAUGGGCAGGUCCAAUCUUAAAUAAAAUUCAAAAGAACAUGUUUUUGUUAAACAGGCG
Molecule: ribosomal RNA, 479 nt
Filed under: Rheumatometra philarete
Lineage: Eukaryota; Metazoa; Arthropoda; Insecta; Hemiptera; Gerridae
Description: partial 16S ribosomal RNA
Source: RNAcentral